Molecule: ribosomal RNA, 251 nt
Filed under: uncultured prokaryote
Description: partial 16S ribosomal RNA
Rfam family: Bacterial small subunit ribosomal RNA
Source: RNAcentral
ACGUAGGGUGCGAGCGUUAAUCGGAAUUACUGGGCGUAAAGCGUGCGCAGGCGGUUCUGCAAGUGGGACGUGAAAGCGCCCGGCUCAACCGGGCGAGGACGUACCGAACUGCGGGACUAGAGGCAGGGAGAGGCGUGUGGAAUUCCGGGUGUAGUGGUGAGAUGCGUAGAGAUCCGGAGGAACACCAGAGGCGAAGGCGACACCCUGGGCCGUACCUGACGCUAAGACGCGACAGCACGGGGAGCGAACGG